Molecule: long non-coding RNA, 240 nt
Filed under: Physcomitrium patens
Lineage: Eukaryota; Viridiplantae; Streptophyta; Bryopsida; Funariales; Funariaceae
Description: long non-coding RNA (PPAT_LNC005330)
Source: RNAcentral
AUUCAAUCAUACCAAUAAUUGCUAUUUCCACCAAUAUAUUCACCCUCAUAAUCUCCAACUGUAAUACUACGCCCUCACAACUUUCAGCACACAAUUAUCCUCGUUCCAAUCACUAGAAUUCUUCACACAGAACUACCAUUCAUAUUAUAGUGUUUCACACAAACACAAACCCAUUCUCUCUGCUGAACUACAAUCAGAUUUCAACAUUCAAUCUUUCUUCUUCUCAAAUAGUACCAAUCA